This 543-nucleotide ribosomal RNA is filed under the name Triticum aestivum (bread wheat). Its description in RNAcentral is "partial small subunit ribosomal RNA". Lineage: Eukaryota; Viridiplantae; Streptophyta; Magnoliopsida; Poales; Poaceae. The record is from RNAcentral.
AUGAUUUGGCUUCUGGACGAUGUCUACGACGUGCAACACCGGGCCUACAUGAUGCGCGAGAAGGAUAAGAAGCUUGAACCUCUGAAGAUUCGGUAUCACGGGGUCUCUGGUCCUGCAAUGCCUUACGAUGAGCGGUACACACCGUACAUCAAGCAAGCAGGACUACUCCCGUGGAUUCUGUUGGUCAGCCGGUCCACGCCGAAUCUGAACGCUCCACUGGUGUCCGCUCUUGUUGAUCGGUGGAGGCCAGAGACCCACAGUUUCCAUCUUCGGACCGGGGAGAUGACCGUGACGCUCGAGGAUGUCUCGUUGAUCACCGGUCUUGCUAUCGAUGGGAGGCCUCUAUGUAUGAGCACCGAUUUUGAUGGGUGGCGCGAGCAGAUGAUUGCUCUUAUCGGUAUGGCUCCUACCGAGGCUGAGGAUGAUGUAGAGGAGGGAGAAGAGAAGAAGAAGAGGGAAAGGAAGGCAGCCGGAGCCGCUUUCACGUGGAUUCAAAAUAACUUUGCGACGUGCCCUCCGGAUGCAACUGAUGAUGUGAUCUAG